UUUCCGUAGGUGAACCUGCGGAAGGAUCAUUCAUAAUAAGUGUUUUAUGGCACUUUUUAAAUCCAUAUCCACCUUGUGUGCAAUGUCAGUCGAUCUUCUUCAUGGAGAUCGGCCAAACAUCAACCUUAUCUUUUAACUCUUUGUCUGAAAAAUAUUAUGAAUAAACAAUUCAAAAUACAACUUUCAACAACGGAUCUCUUGGCUCUC
This 207-nucleotide unclassified non-coding RNA is filed under the name soil metagenome. Its description in RNAcentral is "partial contains small subunit ribosomal RNA, internal transcribed spacer 1, and 5.8S ribosomal RNA". The record is from RNAcentral.